This 843-nucleotide ribosomal RNA is filed under the name uncultured Chloroflexota bacterium. RNAcentral's name for it is "SSU rRNA". It matches the Rfam family "Bacterial small subunit ribosomal RNA", at positions 38 to 897 of the family's 1533-position model. Lineage: Bacteria; Bacillati; Chloroflexota. The record is from RNAcentral.
GGCAGUGUGCCUAANGCAUGCAAGUCGAGCGAGUCUUCCCGCUUCGGUGGGAAGGAGAGCGGCGGACGGCUGAGGAACACUCAGGGAACCUGCCCUACGGUGGGGGAUAACUCCGGGAAACCGGAGCUAAUACCGCGUACGCUUCCGUGCCACAAGGCGCGGAAGGAAAGCCGCAAGGCGCCGAAGGAGGGUCCUGGGUCCCAUCAGGUAGUUGGUGAGGUAACGGCUCACCAAGCCAACGACGGGUAGCUGGUCUGAGAGGACGGUCAGCCAGAGGGGGACUGAGAACGGCCCCCACUCCUACGGGAGGCAGCAGCAAGGAAUCUUGGGCAAUGGGCGAAAGCCUGACCCAGCGACACUGCGUGGGGGAAGAAGGCCUUCGGGUCGUAAACCCCUUUUCCUGGGGAAGAGCAAGGACGGUACCCAGGGAAUAAGUCCCGGCUAACUACGUGCCAGCAGCCGCGGUAAUACGUAGGGGACAAGCGUUACCCGGAAUUACUGGGCGUAAAGGGCGUGUAGGCGGCAAGGCAUGUCCCGCGUGAAAAUGAAGGGCUUAACCCUUCACUGUCGUGGGAAACGGUCUUGCUAGAGGACAGUAGAGGCGGGUGGAAUUCCCGGUGGAGCGGUGAUAUGCGUAGAGAUCGGGAGGAACACCGGUGGCGAAGGCGGCCCGCUGGGCUGAUCCUGACGCUGAGGCGCGAAAGCGUGGGGAGCAAACCGGAUUAGAUACCCGGGUAGUCCACGCCCUAAACUAUGGAUGCUAGGUAUGGGAGGUAUCGACCCCUUCCGUGCCGUAGCUUACGCGUUAAGCAUCCCGCCUGGGGAGUACGGCCGCAAGGCUAA